GAGCAAUUCGAGGGGCUCGCGGCCUAUCAGCUAGUUGGUGAGGUAACGGCUCACCAAGGCGACGACGGGUAGCUGGUCUGAGAGGAUGGCCAGCCACAUUGGGACUGAGAUACGGCCCAG
Molecule: ribosomal RNA, 120 nt
Filed under: uncultured bacterium
Lineage: Bacteria
Description: partial 16S ribosomal RNA
Rfam family: Bacterial small subunit ribosomal RNA
Source: RNAcentral